RNAcentral lists this ribosomal RNA (1536 nucleotides) under Enterobacter cloacae. Its description in RNAcentral is "Bacterial small subunit ribosomal RNA". It matches the Rfam family "Bacterial small subunit ribosomal RNA". Lineage: Bacteria; Pseudomonadati; Pseudomonadota; Gammaproteobacteria; Enterobacterales; Enterobacteriaceae. The record is from RNAcentral.
UUGAAGAGUUUGAUCAUGGCUCAGAUUGAACGCUGGCGGCAGGCCUAACACAUGCAAGUCGAACGGUAGCACAGAGAGCUUGCUCUCGGGUGACGAGUGGCGGACGGGUGAGUAAUGUCUGGGAAACUGCCUGAUGGAGGGGGAUAACUACUGGAAACGGUAGCUAAUACCGCAUAACGUCGCAAGACCAAAGAGGGGGACCUUCGGGCCUCUUGCCAUCAGAUGUGCCCAGAUGGGAUUAGCUAGUAGGUGGGGUAACGGCUCACCUAGGCGACGAUCCCUAGCUGGUCUGAGAGGAUGACCAGCCACACUGGAACUGAGACACGGUCCAGACUCCUACGGGAGGCAGCAGUGGGGAAUAUUGCACAAUGGGCGCAAGCCUGAUGCAGCCAUGCCGCGUGUAUGAAGAAGGCCUUCGGGUUGUAAAGUACUUUCAGCGGGGAGGAAGGUGUUGUGGUUAAUAACCGCAGCAAUUGACGUUACCCGCAGAAGAAGCACCGGCUAACUCCGUGCCAGCAGCCGCGGUAAUACGGAGGGUGCAAGCGUUAAUCGGAAUUACUGGGCGUAAAGCGCACGCAGGCGGUCUGUCAAGUCGGAUGUGAAAUCCCCGGGCUCAACCUGGGAACUGCAUUCGAAACUGGCAGGCUAGAGUCUUGUAGAGGGGGGUAGAAUUCCAGGUGUAGCGGUGAAAUGCGUAGAGAUCUGGAGGAAUACCGGUGGCGAAGGCGGCCCCCUGGACAAAGACUGACGCUCAGGUGCGAAAGCGUGGGGAGCAAACAGGAUUAGAUACCCUGGUAGUCCACGCCGUAAACGAUGUCGAUUUGGAGGUUGUGCCCUUGAGGCGUGGCUUCCGGAGCUAACGCGUUAAAUCGACCGCCUGGGGAGUACGGCCGCAAGGUUAAAACUCAAAUGAAUUGACGGGGGCCCGCACAAGCGGUGGAGCAUGUGGUUUAAUUCGAUGCAACGCGAAGAACCUUACCUGGUCUUGACAUCCACAGAACUUUCCAGAGAUGGAUUGGUGCCUUCGGGAACUGUGAGACAGGUGCUGCAUGGCUGUCGUCAGCUCGUGUUGUGAAAUGUUGGGUUAAGUCCCGCAACGAGCGCAACCCUUAUCCUUUGUUGCCAGCGGUCCGGCCGGGAACUCAAAGGAGACUGCCAGUGAUAAACUGGAGGAAGGUGGGGAUGACGUCAAGUCAUCAUGGCCCUUACGACCAGGGCUACACACGUGCUACAAUGGCGCAUACAAAGAGAAGCGACCUCGCGAGAGCAAGCGGACCUCAUAAAGUGCGUCGUAGUCCGGAUUGGAGUCUGCAACUCGACUCCAUGAAGUCGGAAUCGCUAGUAAUCGUAGAUCAGAAUGCUACGGUGAAUACGUUCCCGGGCCUUGUACACACCGCCCGUCACACCAUGGGAGUGGGUUGCAAAAGAAGUAGGUAGCUUAACCUUCGGGAGGGCGCUUACCACUUUGUGAUUCAUGACUGGGGUGAAGUCGUAACAAGGUAACCGUAGGGGAACCUGCGGUUGGAUCACCUCCUU